Ipomoea triloba (trilobed morning glory) is the source of this 791-nucleotide long non-coding RNA. RefSeq lists it as uncharacterized. NCBI's taxonomy places the organism in Eukaryota, Viridiplantae, Streptophyta, Magnoliopsida, Solanales, Convolvulaceae. The record is from RefSeq and is a predicted model, not a curated record. The transcript has 4 exons.
CUUUUCAACCUACACCAUAUCCACCAUUUCAUUCCGUCUUCGUCCUCUCUCUUCCAGGAUUAUAUCUUCCCCUCCGUCUUCUUCCUCUCCAUCUUCUAGAACAUCCUACUCUGUCGUUCAAACCCAUUUCCACAUUUCCCGUUCUCGCUUGUCUUUCUCGUGCAUAAACGCUCUCUGUCUCCCCGAACAAUUUCGCUCUCUCUCCAUUCGCUCAGCUUGUUUCUUCAUUAGGUCUCUCAUCGAAAAAAUUGAAACUACAAUAACAUCCUAGGUUCUCUACACUCGCAGCAGCAGUUAGUUGCAUAUGGAAAGCAGAGCUCAAAAUCCUUAAAAACUGAAGAGAGUCAAUGCAUUAUAAGAAGUUUAAACCUAUAACAACAGUUAUUAUUUCAUGGCAAUGGAAAUACUAAAAAAAAUACCUGAUGACACCCGAAGAAAGCUUUAGCUUUCAGCCAAGGGAUACUAUCCACAAGCUGGUUAUGUCCUGGAAUUCUUGCCUGUUCCACCAAACUGUCUGUCUCUGCCUGACAUUUCUGAUGGGAUGAGCAUUAUGUCAUCAGGGUAACUUGAAGGUUAAGUGGUUUUGGAAUUUAAAUCACAUUGGAGCUGAGAAGAUUCAUGUUUUGAGACGUGUAAUAUGAUUUAAGAUCAGUUAGUUACCAAUUCUUUUUAAUAUUAUACUUUGCUUGAUUUUCGAUUGUAUAUGAAAUGAUUAUUUUUAAAAAUGCUGUUAAACUACAUAUUUUUUACUGUUUCACACUGCCAUAUAAACACGUGUUCAAAGUUAAUUA